AGACAAGAGGUGCGGGCACACUUCGGCUUCGAAUCGAAGAGAGAAAUAAAUUCCUUGUCUU
RNAcentral lists this transfer RNA (61 nucleotides) under Proasellus coxalis. RNAcentral's name for it is "transfert RNA-R(CGA)". The record is from RNAcentral. Lineage: Eukaryota; Metazoa; Arthropoda; Malacostraca; Isopoda; Asellidae.